RNAcentral lists this ribosomal RNA (253 nucleotides) under uncultured bacterium. RNAcentral describes it as "partial 16S ribosomal RNA". It matches the Rfam family "Bacterial small subunit ribosomal RNA", at positions 524 to 776 of the family's 1533-position model. The record is from RNAcentral.
UACAGAGGUCUCAAGCGUUGUUCGGAUUCAUUGGGCGUAAAGGGUGCGUAGGCGGCGCGGUAAGUCGGGUGUGAAAUUUCGGAGCUUAACUCCGAAACUGCAUUCGAUACUGCCGUGCUUGAGGACUGGAGAGGAGACUGGAAUUUACGGUGUAGCAGUGAAAUGCGUAGAGAUCCGGAGGAACACCAGUGGCGAAGGCGACACGCUGGGCCGUACCUGACACUGAUGCGCGACAGCAUGGGGAGCAAACAGG